UACGGAGGAUGCGAGCGUUAUCCGGAUUUAUUGGGUUUAAGGGGUGCGUAGGCGGACUGUCAAGUCAGCGGUAAAAUUGAGAGGCUCAACCUCUUCCCGCCGUUGAAACUGGUGGUCUUGAGUGGAUGAGAAGUACGCGGAAUGCGUGGUGUAGCGGUGAAAUGCAUAGAUAUCACGCAGAACUCCGAUUGCGAAGGCAGCGUACCGGCAUCCAACUGACGCUGAGGCACGAAAGCGUGGGGAUCAAACAGG
This 252-nucleotide ribosomal RNA is filed under the name uncultured bacterium. RNAcentral describes it as "partial 16S ribosomal RNA". It matches the Rfam family "Bacterial small subunit ribosomal RNA", at positions 524 to 776 of the family's 1533-position model. The record is from RNAcentral.